Long non-coding RNA from Lolium rigidum, 1385 nucleotides. RefSeq lists it as uncharacterized. The transcript has 7 exons. The record is from RefSeq and is a predicted model, not a curated record. NCBI's taxonomy places the organism in Eukaryota, Viridiplantae, Streptophyta, Magnoliopsida, Poales, Poaceae.
CCUCCAUGGCGGUGCGGCUUAGGCCGGAGCUUGGUCGGCGGCAGAAGGAGUCCCACCGGCAACCUUGGAGGAGCCAUCAGGAUGGAGGUGCCGAUUCGUCCGGGCAGCGGCGACUGCUAGCUCGUUUUGGUGAGUUCCCUCCAUCUAUCUCUCAGAUGAUUUGAGGUUUGUGGUGCUCAGCUGCCGGCCCACCCCGAUGUGUUGCUGCUCAUCAGAUCCGGAAGGAAGGGGAGGAGCCAGGGAUGAAGAAGUAGUGGGGAAGAAGAGAGGUUUCAGGGAGGAGAAAUAGGAGUGCUGCUCGUGACUUCUAGUGCUUCAUUUAACCUGUCAGGCAAAUCUUUUUCUCAAGUUUCACAUGAAACACCAAAUUCUGCACCUGAAGCUUCGCUGCAUGGCUCUCCAACGUUUGGCUUGAGGCAAGAUUUUGCAGUUGAGAGAAAAUGGGCUCUUGGUCUUCAGCUAGAGGAUGAAUUACCUUGACCUGUAAGAGGCACUCCAUCUCAUACAAAUUACAUACAAUUUCUGAUUUGGAGCCUGAAGAAGCCCCAGCGAGGCGAGGUCGUCACUUUCGCCUAUUUAAACACACCUAGGCACCUACCAUAUGUUGGUGCUGGAGGAGAGCUUCAGGAUGUAGUAUGUAGUCAUGGGACCAUUUUGGUGAUGUCUCCACCGGCAUCUUCGGCUCUGCAUACUGAAGUAUUUGCCCUUUAGCUUUACUGUUAUUGUUACUUCACUGCUGCAUGUUUAAGACCCAAAGCUUCUCCACUGAUUGCAUAGUACUAACUAGCUAAGGACAUACUCUCUGCCCCGAGACAUCAACAAAUUAGUCCUCAGCUUACGGCAAUCUUUGCUUCAGAUUUGUUCCGGCCGACAAGCUUCUUCCAGGUAUAAAGGCCAGUGACGUUUAUGAUAUCACAUUUUCUCACAUUUGAUUUGCGACUACAGAUAUAAAGGCCGGAGUGAUUUGGGAGAUACGAAGCAAAUUGUUGUGUCCUUCAUCAACUGAAAGAUUAAGGCUUCACCUGCAUUGAAUCUAAACAUCUAGCUAUGGAUCAGCAGGCGUACAUCACAUAUUGCUUGAUGUUGGUGCUCGACAGUGUUGAUUGGUUUUCUUGACGGAUAAGGGCCUCAACUGCAUUAGAUAUCAAAUCAGGUUCCUGCGACGUACUUCUGGAAUAGCUAAGCUUGGGCGUUAUCUCUACUGGAACAAAAUGGGAAGGGCCUACAUGUCAAGGCCUUGGAUCCAACGAGGAUCUGUUGUGCUUCUAGAAUUAGAAAUUUCUUCUAAGAUAUUAUUGGUCAGCUUAUUUGGACGCAUUCUUGGCAACGACAAUGAGACAGUGCUUAAGAAUGGCACUAGAGUUAAUGAUAAGAGUUUAUUUUUU